Carassius auratus (goldfish) is the source of this 105-nucleotide small nuclear RNA. NCBI's taxonomy places the organism in Eukaryota, Metazoa, Chordata, Actinopteri, Cypriniformes, Cyprinidae. The record is from Ensembl.
AUAUAUAUAUAUACUGCAUAUACUAAAAUUGGAUCGAUACAGAGAAGAUUAGCAUGGCCCCUGCGAAAGGAUGACACGCAAAUCCGUGAAGCGCUGGGGAAGUCG